RNAcentral lists this small nuclear RNA (102 nucleotides) under Bison bison bison. The record is from RNAcentral. Lineage: Eukaryota; Metazoa; Chordata; Mammalia; Artiodactyla; Bovidae.
GCUUUGGCAAUAUGUAUAUACUAAAACUGGAACAAUGAAGAGAAGGCCAGCAUGGCUCCUGCACGAGACGACGCAUAAAUUCACGAGAUGGUCACUAUCCUU